This 1209-nucleotide long non-coding RNA is filed under the name Equus caballus (horse). RNAcentral describes it as "lncRNA (ENSECAG00000046609.1)". Lineage: Eukaryota; Metazoa; Chordata; Mammalia; Perissodactyla; Equidae. The record is from RNAcentral.
AGGGUAACUGUUGCCUGGGGUUACAUCAAUAAACUUCAGUAAAAUUGUGGUUCUGAUCACCAGGAGGACAAGGGAUGGGUGUUAGGUUGACACUUGCUCAGGUUCUCUAGAAGCAGAGCCAAAGAUGGAGAUUCUUGGGCCAGCCCUGACAGCUUGGGGGUUAAAGUUCAGCACGCUCUGCUUCAGUGGCCUGGGUUCAGUUCCCGGGUGUAGACCUACCACUUGUCUGUGAGUAGUUACUGGAGAAUCCGUGAAGAAGUGAAGGAAUCAGGAUGCGGCCAGCAACAUGUGAUUCCAUCAGAAGUCCAGCCUCCGCCUCAUUCUGAGGACCAUGUUCUCUGACACCCGUCCCAUCCAGAGGUGAGCCUGUGGCCCUUCCCUCGGAGCUGGGCGUGACUCCAACUGCUCUGACAAGACACUAUGGUGGAGUGAUGCUGCGCUGCUUUCCAGAUAUUCUCUUCCAAAGACCCUCGGGCUGCCAGUCCCGGGAGCGCUCUCCUUCCAGAACUGCGGGGCUGGCUGCGCACAGCCAGCGGACUCCGGCCCUCCGUCCAGCCCAGAAGUCCGCUUGGCCGGCUCCCAGAAAUCCUGCAGCUUCUUCAAAUGCCACCCUUUCACUUUGACAAUUGAUUUGCACUUUUUCUGAUUUAUCCGAAAUUAACAACUAUCAACAGAGAGAGAGUGACAAAAAAUGCUGCUGGAUUAGGAGGGAUAGACACGAGGGUUAAACGGAGAGAACGACUGACCGGAGACUAAUUUUACAAGUGUCUGCAAGCCUAUGCGGGAAUCUUUUCGUGCCUGAUGCUUCCCUGUGAAACCGUGUGACUGUGGGGAUCAGAGCACAGAACUCGGACGAUGAGGAGCCUUUGAAAUGCUGUUCAAUCUGAGAACAACUAGCAAGACGCAGGCAUCUGUUUGCACUACGCAGAGAAAAAAAACAGACUCGGGGAAACUUGCAUAAGUGCGCUCUGCUCACCUGCACGGCCCGGCCAGAGGCCAAACUUACUCCCUUCCGCGUCUGCGCUGUGUUAUGCUAGGCCCGCCUCUGCGCAGCCAAGCACCGCGCCUCAGCGCUCACACCCACGCUCCACGCCCCGCUCGCUGUCAGUCUCCAGUUUUCGACACACUUUAGUCUCUCCAAGCCCAAAGCCCUCCUGAGGAGGUCCUCACCCAAAAGCCCCAGUUAUCCCCAGACUGCAAGUGUCUCAA